This 255-nucleotide ribosomal RNA is filed under the name uncultured bacterium. RNAcentral's name for it is "partial 16S ribosomal RNA". It matches the Rfam family "Bacterial small subunit ribosomal RNA", at positions 99 to 354 of the family's 1533-position model. The record is from RNAcentral.
CGGACGGGUGAGUAACGCGUGGGGAACCUGCCUUGCACCGGGGGAUAACACUUAGAAAUAGGUGCUAAUACCGCAUAAGCGCACAGAGCCGCAUGGCUCAGUGUGAAAAACUCCGGUGGUGCAAGAUGGACCCGCGUCUGAUUAGCUGGUUGGCGGGGUAACGGCCCACCAAGGCGACGAUCAGUAGCCGGCCUGAGAGGGUGAACGGCCACAUUGGGACUGAGACACGGCCCAAACUCCUACGGGAGGCAGCAG